Molecule: ribosomal RNA, 193 nt
Filed under: uncultured eukaryote
Lineage: Eukaryota
Description: partial 18S ribosomal RNA
Rfam family: Eukaryotic small subunit ribosomal RNA
Source: RNAcentral
UGGUGGAGCGAUUUGUCUGGUUAAUUCCGUUAACGAACGAGACCUCGACCUGCUAAAUAGCUGGGCGAAUUGCUUUUUGCGAUUGGUGAGGGCAGUGUGCGCCGGGUGCUUUGUGCGCCGGGUGUGCGUGCCCGUCACUAGCUUCUUAGAGGGACUAUCGGUGCUUAGCCGGUGGAAGUUCGAGGCAAUAACA